ACCAUCAGCAGCGAUGAUAUCUGCCAAAUAUUUCUUGGUUCUUCUUGUGUAUAUCAGCGGCUCAGGAGCUGAAGGCCAAACCCUGAUUCAGUCUGAAGCAGUGGUCACAAGUCCAGGAGGGUCACACCGUCUGACCUGUACAUAUUCAGGAUUCAGUACUGAUUAUGACACUGUUUGGAUCAGACAGGCUGCUGGGAAAGGCCUGGAGUGGAUCUCUUACAUUAGCAGUGGCAGUAGUAGCAAGUACUACUCCGAUUCAGUGAAAAACCGCUUCACCGUGUCCAGAGAUAACAGCAGAAAAGAGGUGUAUCUGCACAUGAGCGGCCUGAGAGCGGACGACACUGCGCUGUAUUUCUGCGCCAGAGACUCUGUUACUUCACUUCAGUAA
This is a non-coding RNA of Boleophthalmus pectinirostris (great blue-spotted mudskipper), 388 nucleotides long. NCBI's taxonomy places the organism in Eukaryota, Metazoa, Chordata, Actinopteri, Gobiiformes, Gobiidae. The record is from the annotation of a RefSeq genome assembly.